This 246-nucleotide ribosomal RNA is filed under the name uncultured prokaryote. RNAcentral's name for it is "partial 16S ribosomal RNA". It matches the Rfam family "Bacterial small subunit ribosomal RNA", at positions 439 to 700 of the family's 1533-position model. The record is from RNAcentral.
UCAGAGAAGAAGACAUGACUGUAUCUGAGGAAUAAGCAUCGGCUAACUCUGUGCCAGCAGCCGCGGUAAGACAGAGGAUGCAAGCGUUAUCCGGAAUGAUUGGGCGUAAAGAGUAUGUAGGUUGCUUAACAAGUCUACUGUUAAAUCCCAGAGCUUAACUCUGGUCAAGCCGUAGAAACUGAUAAGCUAGAGUACGGUAGAAGCAAAGGGAAUUUCCGGUGGAGCGGUGAAAUGCGUUGAUAUCGG